UACGUAGGGUGCAAGCGUUGUCCGGAAUUAUUGGGCGUAAAGAGCUCGUAGGCGGCUCGUCGCGUCGGCUGUGAAAACCUGGGGCUCAACCCCGGGCCUGCAGCCGAUACGGGCGAGCUAGAAUUCGGUAGGGGAGACUGGAAUUCCUGGUGUAGCGGUGAAAUGCGCAGAUAUCAGGAGGAACACCGGUGGCGAAGGCGGGUCUCUGGCCCAUUACUGACGCUGAGGCACGAAAGCGUGGGGAGCAAACAGG
RNAcentral lists this ribosomal RNA (253 nucleotides) under uncultured bacterium. Its description in RNAcentral is "partial 16S ribosomal RNA". It matches the Rfam family "Bacterial small subunit ribosomal RNA", at positions 524 to 776 of the family's 1533-position model. The record is from RNAcentral.